AGCAGCCGCGGUAAUUCCAGCUCCAAUAGCGUAUAUUAAAGUUGCUGCAGUUAAAAAGCUCGUAGUUGAAUUUCGGGACCAUCAUGUCGGUCGUGCCUCGGUACGUACUGGCAUUGUUGGUUUCUACCUUCUGACGAACCAUGAUGUCAUUUAUUUGGUGUCGUGGGAAAUCAGGACUGUUACUUUGAAAAAUUAGAGUGUUUAAAGCAGGCUCACGCUUGAAUACAUUAGCAUGGAAUAAUGAAAUAGGACGUUUGAUUCUAUUUUGUUGGUUUCUAGGAUCGACGUAAUGAUUAAUAGGGAUAGUUGGGGGCAUUAGUAUUCAAUUGUCAGAGGUGAAAUUCUUGGAUUUAUUGAAGACUAACUACUGCGAAAGCAUUUGCCAAGGAUGUUUUCAUUAAUCAAGAACGAAAGUUAGGGGAUCGAAGACGAUCAGAUACCGUCGUAGUCUUAACCAUAAACUAUGCCGACUAGGGAUCGGAUGAUGUUAAUUUUUAAUGUACUCAUUCGGCGUCCG
This 517-nucleotide ribosomal RNA is filed under the name uncultured Glomus. Its description in RNAcentral is "SSU rRNA". It matches the Rfam family "Eukaryotic small subunit ribosomal RNA", at positions 569 to 1089 of the family's 1831-position model. The record is from RNAcentral. Lineage: Eukaryota; Fungi; Glomeromycota; Glomeromycetes; Glomerales; Glomeraceae.